UACGAAGGGUGCAAGCGUUAAUCGGAAUUACUGGGCGUAAAGGGCGCGUAGGCGGCCUUCUAAGUCGAACGUGAAAUCCCUGGGCUCAACCCAGGAACUGCGUCCGAUACUGGAAGGCUUGAAUCCGGGAGAGGGAUGCGGAAUUCCAGGUGUAGCGGUGAAAUGCGUAGAUAUCUGGAGGAACACCGGUGGCGAAGGCGGCAUCCUGGACCGGUAUUGACGCUGAGGCGCGAAAGCCAGGGGAGCAAACGGG
RNAcentral lists this ribosomal RNA (253 nucleotides) under uncultured bacterium. RNAcentral describes it as "partial 16S ribosomal RNA". It matches the Rfam family "Bacterial small subunit ribosomal RNA", at positions 524 to 776 of the family's 1533-position model. The record is from RNAcentral.